Molecule: non-coding RNA, 30 nt
Filed under: Mus musculus (house mouse)
Lineage: Eukaryota; Metazoa; Chordata; Mammalia; Rodentia; Muridae
Source: RNAcentral
UGGUUCCUCAUUGCUGUACUAUUACACAUU